UUCCCCUACUAUGUAUAAGAAAUCCCCAAAUAGACUAAAGCUAAGAACCCUAAAAGCAGCUGCUUCGCACAUCCAAGGGCCAAUGUCUUCUGUCACAGAAUAAGUUGAAUGUUACUAUGGGAGAUCGGCCGUUCUUCGCACAUCAUGGACAGAGGAAAACCUAGGUCGUCGAUUCCAUUCUUGUUGACAUUACAAGGCCUUCCUGCUCUUCUUCCAAAAUUUGGUGGUAGAGGAAGCAUGAUGCAAGACUCAGCCCACAUUCCUUCAUGACUCAUUGGUUUGAUCGCAGGUGCAUAAACAACCUUAUAUGCAUCAAACAAUAUAAACAUGCAUGCACAAAGUUUACUGGAUCUAAUUUUUGAUUGUAUAUUCAAGAACAAGCAUGCUUACAAGGUAUGUCAGAUAAUUGUCACUUCCUGCAACUACAACUUCUUGCACUGAAGUCAAAACAGUUCUGGCUUCCAUGAAAAUAGAAAAAUUAAUAAUUUGUGUCAUCAGCCUUAAUAGGCAUACAGUCAUAUAUCUUUGCAGCCUAUUUUUCUAAGAUGAUCUGAAUUUUAGGACAUUUUUCCUGUUCAUUUGUUUGAA
Long non-coding RNA from Sesamum indicum (sesame), 588 nucleotides. RefSeq lists it as uncharacterized. NCBI's taxonomy places the organism in Eukaryota, Viridiplantae, Streptophyta, Magnoliopsida, Lamiales, Pedaliaceae. The record is from RefSeq and is a predicted model, not a curated record.